Haliotis rufescens (red abalone) is the source of this 552-nucleotide long non-coding RNA. RefSeq lists it as uncharacterized. Lineage: Eukaryota; Metazoa; Mollusca; Gastropoda; Lepetellida; Haliotidae. The record is from RefSeq and is a predicted model, not a curated record. The transcript is spliced from 3 exons.
CACAGGUCAAGCGUAGCCAGCGUUCUCCAAAUCUCGUCCCACCCAUCUCAGACAUACCAUCAGGAUAAGUUACCGACUCCCAUGGCCACUGCUGCAUUCAGUACCAAGAUGGACAAGCGGAAGUUCUAUAUUGCCAUGGUGAUAACAAUCCUAGUGACGGAGCUGCUACUUGCGCCUAUGCUUUACUUCAGAUGGUUGGGUAGCGAUCGAAGACAUUUCAUCACCAGCGUCAUCUGCGACAUCGGGUUGUUCUACAUGAUCAGAUAUAUCAUAGAACGUCUACAUCCAGUAAGGAACUGGAAAGAAGGACUAAAACUCGCCGGAUACCUGACAGCGUUCUACUCCUUAAAUAUCUACCCCACCAUCGCAGUUAUCCCGAAUGUGUUUAGCUGCAUCACUGCAAUUUUUAAAACUACACAUGCUUUCGUGAACAUUUCAUUGAUAGUGCUGGCAUUGGUAUAUGUGAAGAAAUGAGAUCCACGUACUCUUUAACGUAUAAGAACAUGGCUCGCCAGCACAUACAUUCCCGCGAAUAAAGGUUGUGUACAUUGC